GACGAACGCUGGCGGCGUGCUUAACACAUGCAAGUCGAACGGAAAGGCCCUGCUUUUGUGGGGUGCUCGAGUGGCGAACGGGUGAGUAACACGUGAGUAACCUGCCCUUGACUUUGGGAUAACUUCAGGAAACUGGGGCUAAUACCGGAUAGGAGCUCCUGCUGCAUGGUGGGGGUUGGAAAGUUUCGGCGGUUUGGGAUGGACUCGCAGGUUAUGAGCUGGUUGGUGAGGUAGUGGCUUACAAAGGCUUUGACGGGUAGCCGGCCUGGGAGGGUGGCCGGGCACAUUGGGACUACGAUACGCACCAGUAUCCAACGGGAGGCAGUAGUGGAGAAUAUUGCACAAUGGGCGGAAGCGUGAUGCAGAAACGCCGCGUGCGGGAUGCCGGCCUUCGGGUUAUAAACAGCUUUCGCCUGUGACGAAGCGUGAGUGACGGUAAUGGGUAAAGAAGCAACGGCUAACUACGUG
Molecule: ribosomal RNA, 468 nt
Filed under: uncultured bacterium
Lineage: Bacteria
Description: partial 16S ribosomal RNA
Rfam family: Bacterial small subunit ribosomal RNA
Source: RNAcentral